UGGGGAAUAUUGGACAAUGGGCGAAAGCCUGAUCCAGCCAUGCCGCGUGUGUGAAGAAGGUCUUCGGAUUGUAAAGCACUUUAAGUUGGGAGGAAGGGCAGUAAGCGAAUACCUUGCUGUUUUGACGUUACCGACAGAAUAAGCACCGGCUAACUCUGUGCCAGCAGCCGCGGUAAUACUGAGGGUGCAAGCGUUAAUCGGAAUUACUGGGCGUAAAGCGAGCGUAGGUGGUUCGUUAAGUUGAAUGUGAAAGCCCCGGGCUCAACCUGGGAACUGCAUCCGAAACUGGCGAGCUAGAGUAGGGCAGGGGGUGGUGGAAUUUCCUGUGUAGCGGUGAAAUGCGUAGAUAUAGGAAGGAACACCAGUGGCGAAGGCGACCACCUGGGCUCAUACUGACACUGAGGUGCGAAAGCGUGGGGAGCAAACAGG
Molecule: ribosomal RNA, 429 nt
Filed under: Pseudomonadota bacterium
Lineage: Bacteria; Pseudomonadati; Pseudomonadota
Description: Proteobacteria bacterium partial 16S ribosomal RNA
Rfam family: Bacterial small subunit ribosomal RNA
Source: RNAcentral